CAGACCUUGCUCAGGCAAACUUCAACUCCGAAUGGGUGAGAACUGGUUUUGGCUCUGUGCUGCAAUACUAUAGCUUUAGAGAGUGACACAACAUUAAGGAAUCUUCAAAAAUGUAAUCAGCUGUGUUUGAAAACGGGCUUGUUUUGAAUGACUCCCUUCUUUUCAGUGCUGAGGGUACAGCACAGCGUUUUUCCCAUUUGUCUGCACCCUCGCAAAAAAAUCUCGGCAGGAAACAUCCAGACAGUCUGAAUGGUUACGUCGCGCUAACAGCGUGGUUCUAGAAGAGUUCCAUUUUUGGACUGCUUUACCUUUAACAACCUGAUUACAUUGUCAGAUGUACUUCCGGAGUUCCAUUGCUUCUGAUUUCUAAUGCCAAUAGCAAAGACUUGCCAGAACCCCUGAGAAGCAACCCUUCACAUUUUGAUAUAAAUAACAGAAUAUAUUAUGUAUUGGACAUUGCAGGGAAACUUGACUUGCGGGGGAAAAAAAAUACGAACACUUUGUUCUGUGAUCGGAGGCAUUCAGACAUUGGAUCAAAACUGGAUCUCCCUGCAUGAGCAGACCCCCUGAAGUCAGGAUUUGGUUCUUCAAUGGAACAUGCUUGGUGUCUAUGAGGGCAGGAGUGAGCUCCAUGAAAAGCUCUUAGAAGAAGGGGAGAUGAAGAGAGGCAAGAAAGAAGAAUAGCAGACAAGAGAUUAAAGCUUUUUAUUCAGUAUCUCUUUCGUAUUCAAAUUGUGCUAAGGGCUCUGUGAAAGUUAGAAGCAAGCUUGUUCAGGAGGGCUUCUAAAGUGUGUACAUGGAUUUCACGGGAAUAGAAAAGAAGCCACGGACUGGGUAAUGAAAGAAAGAUAAGAUGUCCUAUAUAAAACAACUCAAGAGUGGUUCAAUUACUUCAGCAAACCAUCAAGGCAAGCUUUGAAGAUUUGAGAAAACACUGUUAAAAUUUAACAAAAACCUCGUGUUGCAGGUUUUGUACCAAUAAAUGUUUGUAUACUGUGUGAAUUACUUAAGCUAUAUUCCCUGCAUGAACAUUGUUUGCGUCCUUGGUUUUUCUGGAAGAGAGACAUUUGCUAUGCCAUACUGUUAAGAAAAAUGAAGUAUUCAUGUUUGAUCUCUUAUUUUUCUGACAGGCAGUGAUGCCAUCCAAAAAAAAAAUGGCAUCAUUGUUUACAAAAAUAAGGUUGGGAAUUAGAGCUCCAUGUAUUCCUGACGGUUUCUUGCGUAUUUCUGUUAGUCGUUAAAGUAGUCUUGACAAAGGCCUAAGUCAUAUAAGAAAUAAUUAACCAGAUUCAUCCAGUGAAAGAUCUAAACUGGGGGAUAUGCCAGCUAUAAAAAUAAAAUGCGGCUGUUUAGAAAAUACCUAUUUUUAAUUGCAGCUAUGUCUCCCUGCCAAUUCUCUGUGCCGGAGACUUGACAAGUAACAUCAAACAUGGUCCAAGAACAAAGCCAGCCAACCAUGGCCUGCAGCAUCCUUCAACCAAAAGUCACCUUUACUCAGGCUUUGCCAUCUAAUUUGCUGUGUUUCUGUAUGUGCUCUUCAAGCAGAAGUCCUACAACCCUCAAUAUAAAGCUUUCCAGUUUUCUGCUCUGAGAGAUUACAGUGGCAAUGCUAGAAUGAUUUAACAAUUUGAAAAUCAUAAGCCACCCUGGAGUUGUGAGUUUUUGAGAUGCAGCACCCUCGCCCUUCCCCCUUAGGUUUUUAAAAUAUAUAUACAUACUGACUGACAGUUCUGUAAGUCUCCCUAGUUUAAAUGCAGUUACAUCCAUUUUUGUGCAAAUGUCCGCAAACAAUUAAGACAAAAUUUACUUACAGGCUUUUUUUAAUGGAAAGGUCAAAUAGAUGGCAAACUUAGAUUCCAAUUCAAGUGAAAGACAGAAAUAUCUUGUUCAAUUCCCAGGACAAUAAAUAACUCUUAAGAAAAGCUUAUAAAAGUGUGUCUUGAACAAAACUCAUCUCAUGAUGUUAGUAAAAAGAAAGAAGCUAAACUUAAUAUGUAAAACAAAAAAUAAACCCCUUCACUCCUGCCCCUAAUCUCUAGGGAAGAUUGAUAAAGACUUUCAGAACAAUGCUAAUGUUCUAAGAUGAGUAACCAAGAUUUUCCGCAGGACUGUCUAAAAUUUCAUAGUCUCCUAAAAUCUCAGCUCAUCAACUUGAGAUGUCAAAAGACCAUUAAAAAUCAGACUUCUAAGGUUUCUCAUCUUCCUUACUACUGAGUAGUUCUAUUGGCUUGACAGAGCUGCCUCAUGUGAGAAAAGUAAACAUGAUUUACCCUCUAAUGUUGACACCUGUUAACACCAGAUGAACUGAACAGCUUUGACACUCAAACCCUCACUGGUUCAUUCUUGAAAAUACUUUGGCACAAAAGGACAAGAACAAAUUGUAGAAAAUAGAUUUUCUAUGCUUAAAAAGCUAUAUCCAAAUCAUAUAAAUGAAGGAAGAAAGAUAUCUAAUUACGGGAAUUGUCAAACUCAGCCUUCAGACCGGCCCAAAUUCUAUUUUUAAUUAUGAUUCAUGAGCCAAUUUAUGCACUUAGGACUAACACCCUUCUUAAUAAAGAGGAACUCCCAUUGAGGGCAAUAAGAGGUUUGUACAGAAAUCAGGUAGAAUAUGGCCUUUAUGUAAUAGUAAUUAAACUUUCCAUUAUCAUUAUUCUGUGUUCAGUACCUUCUUGUCAUAUUCAGCACCAUUCAGUGGGAAAAUACACUCCCCAGUAGUACCAUUGUUAUUUCUGCUUUGUUACUAUUCCUUCCCCAUUCUCCUUUCUGUUUCUCUCCUUCUUUCUUGUUUGUGUCUUUCCAUUUUUCCUCUGCAUCUUCUCCAAUUCUAAUCCAAAUGAAUCAGUUCUUUUUCAGUAGUGGAAGUGUCUCUUUACUCCUCUGUGUGAUGCUAAGCAUCCUUGUAUUCACACCCGACACACUAUUGUAAACAUAUUUGUACAAAAUAUGCCUUGUAAGGUAUCAGCUGAAAACUAUUAACUCACUGAGUAUUAAUAUUCUUGUGUGAUGUACGUAUGUAUGUAAUGGGUAUUAAGAGUUAUGGAUAUAUUCUAGAAUUAUGACUAAAGAUGUGUAUAAACCAAGUAUGCCAGGGGAGUUGGUAAACAGGUCUGCAUAGAGAAAGGAAUGUGUUUUCCCCACCUGGGAGUGACUUCCAAAUUACUUUGCAGGAAAAUGAAAUUGUAUUUGCAUAUUCCAUAAAUGGACCCAUCAGGAUAACAACAGGUGUAGACAAACCUCACGCUAACAAGAACACAUGGCAUCUACACCCAGAAGGAGAGGGAAGCUUGGUCUGGGUUUUACUUUUCAAAGAAUACGUUGCAAAGGUUUACUGAUCUAUAAAGACAGGGGAGCUGUCAAGUGAUCAGCAAUUGAAUGAACUGAUUGUAUACAAUAUUACUGUUUUACAGAGUGAGGUCUUUGCUGAAAGCUAAUGACACAUGGGUGAAUAAUAUCAAUGGGAAAUGUGUGUGUUAACACUAUAUAAGGAAUUAUGGAAACUCAUUGAUAUUAGGUUAGACAACCUGCCCAGACAGGAGGGAAUGUUACAGCUAUCUACUUGUUUCCUAUGUAAAUUAAGCACGGUAUAACCAGAAACAACGGAAGCUCCAUUUACAUAGAAAUCAGCAGGGGAAUGGGAAGCCCGUAGGAAGGGGAAAGCAUCAUGAGGUCAUUCUGCCUCUUGAAACAAAGUCAUUGAACUUUGGUAAAUAUGAACAAAGACAGAAGCUAUCUUUGUCAUCCAUCGCUAGACAGACACAAGGGAACAGAGCUCUUCUUGCGAGCUGAGAAAGAUAGGUCCUUCAACCAAGGAGGGGGAGGAGGGUUUGAAGUCUCUGGAACUGAAUAUAGGUAAAAAAGCUGGUUAGGCAAAGAUCUUUCACCUGGAAAGACAAAGAAAGAAACACCUUGUACUUUUGUGGAAGGUCCUGACAGAGGGAAAAUCAGCCAUAGCUAGGGAGAAGAAUGGCUGGUAAGAGAAACCAUCUUGAACAAAGCCUGUAUCUUGCUGGAUUAAGUUUUAGACCCUUAGAAGCAUGUUUUCUUUUUUGUUUGCUUGUAAAGCUUUCUAACUUUAUUCCUUUUAUUUGGCAUCAUUCAACCUAAAUCCUAUUAUUAAUAAAUUUGUUUUAGUUUUUACUAUAACCCAACUCAGCAUGAUGGUUACAUGAAAAGUUGUAUUUACUCCAGUUAAAUUAAUAAUCUGUGAUGUGAUUUUGUCUCUUCACAGGAGAAACAAAACUUACUAUUUCUCUGAACUAUACAGGAGAGGACUGGACACAUCAAAACACACAGUUUGGUGGAAACUGGAACUGGGCCUGUGUUGGGGUGAUCUUGCUGGUUGUAACCUAAGCUGGUGGAAGCCAGAGUGGGGCAGUAGGUUGUUGACAGGAUGCUGGGGUCAGAGCUGCUGAACCAGGACUGUCUAGCACACAGUCACUCAGGAAGUGAUCCACAUGCUUGUAGGUUGGGUUCGAGCAGCCCAGGUUGGCAGCAACAGCAGCAAAGUAUCAUGAGACACCCAGGGUUACAGGGCAAGUGGUGACACAACCUCUCACUGGUCUGGACCUAAAUUGUAGAGUCUCUCAAGUUCUUGGAUUUCAGAUACACUGUGCGCCAGCUAAUCAUUGCCAGGUUGGACUAGAACAGAGAUUUUAUAGCUUAUUUUCAGUAAAACAAAGUUAGACGCAACAGCAAAACCUCCAACAAACUUGGGAAAGUUGAAGACUUCCCAAACGACUAUAUACCAAUUGCUUUGUACAUCAUGAUAGUAUCUGUCACACUCCCUACCUCUACCACAUUCACUGAAUGAGCUAAUCUUUCAUUUUUUUUACAAAGGCACCUACCUUUGACUUCUAUUGCUUCUGUUACUUCUCCUUCACAUCCUACUCCCUCCCUUCAUGGCUGCUUGUCAUUCCCAUGCUAUAUCUAUCUAAUUUAGAUUGUAUGCUCCUUGAAGCAGGGAUCUCCUCACUUUGUGAGUCUAAUUCAGUGUCCAUGGAAAGACUCCCAUUAAUUUGGGCUCUGAUGCACACACCUUGAAUGUGACAUUUAUGCACAACUAUGUAAAUAAUACAUAUAAUUAAUAGUUUGUGUGUGCAGACUUGUUCAGGAAAUACAGUAUUGCAAAAACCCUCCAGAAGGGUGUUUUCCAAAUCCCACUGGAGUUAUUCAGUCUUUUUUUCCACUGACAUCAGUGGCAGUUGGAUUAGAUCUUAACCAUAAGAGGAGAUAGCUUUUAUAAAGUUUGAAAACCUAUACAAAAGAAAUUUCAUGGAUACUCUUGCUUCAGAAAAGUAGCAAAGAUCGUUUCUCAGAAACUAAAUAAAAGGGCUUUGAUUAAUAGACCAUCAAAGGAAAUGUCUCCUGUCUUCCUUAAAAGAGCAGUUUCCUUCACUAUCAGCUUGAUGAAAUUGUACGAGGGAACUAUUUAACUAAUUUCCAUGGUUUUGAACUGGACAUACAGACAAAUACCAUUGUUAAGACACUAUAAAGUGAAACUUUAAAUCUGUAGAGCAUAGGAAAUCCUCCAGAGAUACAGUCUUGUUUAUGGUCAGUGAAGUUUUUUGUGGGGGGAGGGGGAAAAGGGUGUUCCAUAGUAUUCAGGUUCAUUAGAAUAAGUAUCAGCCUGGAAGAGCCCUAAUUUCUUCGAGACUGCAAAAGAGAUUCAAUUAAAACCUAAGCCCUUUUUCAAUUGUGGCACUAGAAUAAUAGAUUCUAUGGCAAGUAUCUUGGAGACGGUGGAAACGGCUGCUCGCUUUUUUAUGCAUAGUUCACUGAUUAACAUCUGCCUGAUUGAACUCUUAUAAACUUGGAAUGGACUCAAAUUUUAUUGAGUAGACUUGUUGAAAGGUCUCUGAAAUACAUGUAUAUGAGUCUCCUGGUAUGAAAGAAACUGGGACUACUUCACACUCCACUUCUGCUACCUGAGAUCUAUGAAGGAUGACAUUAAAAGCCAUUCAGAGUAAUGCAGUCAAACAUAUCAACAACCAAAGUCCUGUACUGUGAGCUGCUUAAAACCCUGAGGAAAGUGUUGAACACCCUUAACUUUGAUGCAAGUUGAGUGAUCUCAGCAGCUCUCAAGAGACACCUUACAGCACUGGGAUGCAAGAGCAAACCUUCAGUGAUCACAGGGGCUAUGAACAGAUAAGACAUUUAUUUAUUUCAUUAAUUAUUAAGGACAUCAGUGAUCAAAUAUUUAAUUUGGAUGAAGUGAGUUUGUUCCCUGAUAUGAAAUAAUUGUACAAUAGCUGAUGGCAUGUUUGUUUAAAAUUUCCAAAAAGAGUAAUAAAACACUAAUUUAUGCCAA
Caretta caretta (loggerhead turtle) is the source of this 6307-nucleotide long non-coding RNA. RefSeq lists it as uncharacterized. The record is from RefSeq and is a predicted model, not a curated record. NCBI's taxonomy places the organism in Eukaryota, Metazoa, Chordata, Testudines, Cheloniidae.